GCUCAAAUUUGAAAUCUAGCACCUUCGGUGUUCGAGUUGUAAUUUGAAGAUGGUAACCUUGGGUUUGGCUCUUGUCUAUGUUCCUUGGAACAGGACGUCAUAGAGGGUGAGAAUCCCGUCUGAUGAGAUGCCCAUUCCUAUGUAAGGUGCUAUCGAAGAGUCGAGUUGUUUGGGAAUGCAGCUCUAAGUGGGUGGUAAAUUCCAUCUAAAGCUAAAUAUUGGCGAGAGACCGAUAGCGAACAAGUACAGUGAUGGAAAGAUGAAAAGAACUUUGAAAAGAGAGUGAAAAAGUACGUGAAAUUGUUGAAAGGGAAGGGCAUUAGAUCAGACUUGGUGUUUUACGAUUAUCUUCUCUUCUUGAGUUGUGCACUCGUAUUUCACUGGGCCAGCAUCGAUUCGGAUGGCAAGAUAAUGGCAGUUGAAUGUGGCUUCACUUCGGUGGAGUGUUAUAGCUUCUGCUGAUAUUGCCUGUCUGGAUCGAGGGCUGCGUCUUUUGACUAGGAUGCUGGCGUAAUGAUCUAAUGCCGCCCGUCUUGAAACACGGACC
Molecule: ribosomal RNA, 547 nt
Filed under: Hansenula anomala
Lineage: Eukaryota; Fungi; Ascomycota; Saccharomycetes; Phaffomycetales; Wickerhamomycetaceae
Description: LSU rRNA
Rfam family: Eukaryotic large subunit ribosomal RNA
Source: RNAcentral